AUUGAACGCUGGCGGCAUGCCUUACACAUGCAAGUCGAACGGCAGCACGGGUGCUUGCACCUGGUGGCGAGUGGCGAACGGGUGAGUAAUACAUCGGAACAUGUCCUGUAGUGGGGGAUAGCCCGGCGAAAGCCGGAUUAAUACCGCAUACGAUCUACGGAUGAAAGCGGGGGACCUUCGGGCCUCGCGCUAUAGGGUUGGCCGAUGGCUGAUUAGCUAGUUGGUGGGGUAAAGGCCUACCAAGGCGACGAUCAGUAGAUGGUCUGAGAGGACGACCAGCCACACUGGGACUGAGACACGGCCCAGACUCCUACGGGAGGCAGCAGUGGGGAAUUUUGGACAAUGGGCGAAAGCCUGAUCCAGCAAUGCCGCGUGUGUGAAGAAGGCCUUCGGGUUGUAAAGCACUUCUGUCCGGAAAGAAAUCCUUGGCUCUAAUACAGUCGGGGGAUGACGGUACCGGAAGAAUAAGCACCGGCUAACUACGUG
Molecule: ribosomal RNA, 486 nt
Filed under: uncultured bacterium
Lineage: Bacteria
Description: partial 16S ribosomal RNA
Rfam family: Bacterial small subunit ribosomal RNA
Source: RNAcentral